RNAcentral lists this non-coding RNA (227 nucleotides) under Gloeochaete wittrockiana. The record is from RNAcentral. Lineage: Eukaryota; Glaucocystophyceae; Gloeochaetales; Gloeochaetaceae.
GUUCAAAACACACACCACCACACACACACCAAAAACCAAAAAACCCAAGAGAGAGAGAGAAACAAAGGGGAAAAGGGAAAUCUUUUUUUCUUUUUCUUUUUCUUUUGGUUUGUUUUUUUGGCUCAAAAUCAAAUCGAAACGAAAAGGGAGGUCAUAUUUCUUUUCAAAGGGCAAAAAGCAAGAAAGGAGAGAGAAGAGGAGGAAGGAAGAGAGAAGAAAAGAAGAAG